GGAUUGUUAGCUCAAGGGUUAUAGCGACAGGGGAGAAACCUGCAGGCUGUAGGUUCGAGUCCUACACAAUCCA
RNAcentral lists this transfer RNA (73 nucleotides) under Exophiala sideris. Its description in RNAcentral is "tRNA-Ser (AGA) (tRNA-Ser-AGA-1-1)". It matches the Rfam family "tRNA". From Rfam's summary of the family: Transfer RNA (tRNA) molecules are approximately 80 nucleotides in length. Their secondary structure includes four short double-helical elements and three loops (D, anti-codon, and T loops). Further hydrogen bonds mediate the characteristic L-shaped molecular structure. tRNAs have two regions of fundamental functional importance: the anti-codon, which is responsible for specific mRNA codon recognition, and the 3' end, to which the tRNAs corresponding amino acid is attached (by aminoacyl-tRNA synthetases). tRNAs cope with the degeneracy of the genetic code in two manners: having more than one tRNA (with a specific anti-codon) for a particular amino acid; and 'wobble' base-pairing, i.e. permitting non-standard base-pairing at the 3rd anti-codon position. Lineage: Eukaryota; Fungi; Ascomycota; Eurotiomycetes; Chaetothyriales; Herpotrichiellaceae. The record is from RNAcentral.